AAUAUUGGACAAUGGGGGCAACCCUGAUCCAGCCAUGCCCCGUGUGUGAAUAAGGUCUUCGGAGUGUAAAGCACUUUAAGUUGGGAGGAAGGGCGUUACGCUAAUACCCUGAAGUUUUGACGUUACCAACAGAAUUAGACACGGCUAACUCUGUUGCAGCAGCCGCGGUAAUACAGAGGGUGCAAGCGUUAAUCGGAAUUACUGGGCGUAAAGCGCGCGUAGGUGGUUCAGUAAGAUGGGUGUGAAAUCCCCGGGCUUAACCUGGGAACUGCUUUCAUAACUGCUGAGCUAGAGUACGGUAGAGGGUAGUGGAAUUUCCUGUGUAGCGGUGAAAUGCGUAGAUAUAGGAAGGAACACCAGUGGCGAAGGCGACUACCUGGACUGAUACUGACACUGAGGUGCGAAAGCGUGGGGAGCAAAC
RNAcentral lists this ribosomal RNA (421 nucleotides) under uncultured bacterium. RNAcentral's name for it is "partial 16S ribosomal RNA". It matches the Rfam family "Bacterial small subunit ribosomal RNA", at positions 360 to 773 of the family's 1533-position model. The record is from RNAcentral.